Felis catus (domestic cat) is the source of this 3808-nucleotide long non-coding RNA. RefSeq lists it as uncharacterized. The record is from RefSeq and is a predicted model, not a curated record. The transcript is spliced from 3 exons. NCBI's taxonomy places the organism in Eukaryota, Metazoa, Chordata, Mammalia, Carnivora, Felidae.
CUGUGAGAUCAUGACCUAAGCUGAAGCCAGACACUUAACCGACUGAGCCACCCAGGUGCCCCUGAAGGUUAACACUUUUAAAAACUAUAGGUAGGGUUAACACUCCUGGAAAGGCAUUUUAGAGGGGGAAAAGAAGAUAAAAAAAAUAGAUCCCCCCGCCCCCACAAAGAAAGACCACCAACAAAAAACUUGAUCUUGAAUCUAAGUCAAUGGAAAAACCUCUCUUCUGAGACAUUGUAGUGUGUUUCACUAAAAUGAGAUUCUGUUAACCUACUAGUUCUUGGGCAACUAUUCGUGUGUGUGUGUGUGUGUGUGUGUGUGUGUGCACUAAAAAUUUUUCUGAGAUGUUAGUUUGAGGGACUUUUCGAAUUUAAAAGAAUUUAAUACUUUUACCGUUUUGUUAGGUGAAGAGUUGGAAAUAUUUUUAUCUCAUUAAACAGCUUCAAUUCCAAACACCCAGACAGAGCACCUGCCACAUAAGCCUGUUUCCUACUCUUGUCCUCUAAGGUUAAGACUGGCAGCUGUGGGAGUUCUUGAAAGUGUGUGCCUUGUAGAUUUUAGCUCAUUUUGAAAAACUGGCUCAUUGCCAUUCUGCACUCCAGCUUGUGAUAUUUAAAUAGGAGAUUGAACUGAGCCAGAUAUAAAAGGGAGAGAGAGGGAGAGAGAGAAAGAGUGUGUGUGUAAGGUGACAGUGGGGAGAGGCCCCAGAAAGAAAACUAACAAAGAUAUAUGAGUUGGAAGCCAUACUCUGAGCCAAGGGCUGCACUUGUUGAGUGGAAAUUGGGGGUCCACCUACAACAUGAAUGUUUCAAAACUAAGAUCAGGACAGAAGCGUCAUCAAUACCCAAGGACAUCCUGAGGGAUAUGUAAGUUUUUUUUUUUUUAAGUUGAUUUAUUUUGAGAGAGAGAAAGAGAGAGAAUCCCAAGCAGGCUCUGCAUUGUCAGCACAGAGCCCCACGCAGGGCUUGAACUCACUCACAAACUGUGAGAUCAGGAGCUGGGCUGAAGUAGAAUGCUUAACCGACUGAGCCACCCAGGUGCCCCUGAAGCGAAAAGCACUGUGCUUCAUGGCGUGGGAAGACUCGGCUUUGUGAAGUGAAAGAAAGCGUUAUAAUUUUAGAAACAUUCUUUGAGAAAAUAAUACAAUUUUAGGAUAGGAUACUGCAACAAAGAGACACAACAGUGCUUAAGAAACAUUUAAAUAUAUCCACUAAACCCUACAACAUGUAUCCCCAAGCCAACUUUCCUUCAGCUAGAUCCCAUAAUGUCUAAGGCCACUUCAAAGCUCUCUGACAGGAGGGAGAUUGUGAUGGAAGGAAAGUCAGAGAGCAAAGACAGAGGUCUUAACUGAUCGUGGUUAAAAUACCAUAAAUUUGCAAAUGUAACAAAAACAUGUGCCUUUGUGAACACGUUAUUAGGGCUCCUUCUCAGGCCUUGCCAAGUUAGGGGCCUUGAAACUCAAGCUUCAUUAACUUUGAGAGAAAUCCUCCUCUGACCAGCCCCACCCCUCCUAGCAUUUUUCUGCAGAUUAAAUCCGACUAAACUUAAAGGCAGCCAGUGGGAUGAGUAGAAGGCAGAAAUUAUAGAAAGAUCACAGUGGGGACUCAUAUUCCUCUUGCAAAUAUCAAGCCCUCAGACUGGGAGAUGAUGAAGGACACGUUAGGUCUUCGGGAAGAUACAUAAAGGAGUCUUUGGGCUGACAGGCCUCCAGAGAGGUUGAUGUCAUCACAGCCACAAAGAAGAAUGAUUUCCUACAGCAAUAGUGGAUCUGUGACGGCAUCGGGAUUACAAAAGCUGUUUUGGAGGCCACAGGUCCCAAAUCAAGGUGUCAGGAAAUCACACCUGAACUAUGCAAACUGGGCGGGGCAGCUGCCGCCAAGAAGAGGGAUACUGUCAUCAGAAGGAGGCGGACCCACGCGGCUGAGCAGGCUCAUGGUGCAGAGGAAGGUGGGGAGUUCCAUCUGGACGUGCCGAGUUGUGACACAGCAGGUGAGACACCUGAGAGUGAUGUCCCCUGUCCGUUAAAUGUGGCAGUAGGUGUAUCAUUUUUAAUUUUAGCAAGAAUACUUUCAGUGGAGCGUGGAGCAAGGGGACUGCUGAAGGGAGCUGACGAAUGGAUGGGAACUGAGCAAAGUCGAAGCGGGGCUGGUCAGAAGCCAGAGAACUAGGGUCUCACCAUGACGACAGUGUUGCUGAGGCAGCCUUUCAGGAGGCCUAAAGCAGUAGUUCUCAAAGGCUGUAACCCAGAUCAGCAGCAUCAGGCAGCUGGGAAUUUACUAGAAAAGCAAAUUUUGAGGACCCAUCCAAGACCUACUGAGUCAAAACCUCUAGGGUGGAGCCCUAAAAUCUGUGUUUAACAAGCCCGCAGGUGACCCUGAUGUGGGCAUUCCGGCCUCCGGAGCCUGGAGGAACCAACUUUGACAGAACUACUGGUGCCGUGUGCUCAGGGAGGCGCAUGUGUGUGGUAGUAACAUGUUUACUCCAGCUGGGCUUGCUUGGAAGCAGGGAGCCUGGUUUGGGGUGGGGGUACAUGGGGGUGCGGGGUCUAAGGGCAUGAAUUUUUGGAAAGCAAGGCAGUGAGGAAAAGGACGGGUUCCUUCCCAGGGCAAGGUCCCUGCAGCUGGAGUGUGAAAUACACCUGUUCUGAUCUUUCGAGCAGAUCAGCAGCUUGACAUCCUCCCACUCCAGAGCCAGCAGCUUUCUUGAAGGAUGGGGCUAGUGUUCGGCUGAAGCUGUCACAGAGUGGCAUUUCUCACAAUAUUUGAAGAGCCCCUGGGAAAUGUUAACCAGAAACUCGGUUGGCUCUUUGACUUCAGUCUUUAUGGUUGAAAACCUUUCUAAAAUGGAUCUGUCUUUUUGCCACUUUAGAGACUAGAAUAACAUCUAAAGUAGCAGAGUUGUGAAAGAUUUAUUAUCUUUUACAAUGCAGAGUGGGUUUAAGAUGAGCGCUCUGAUAUUGUCACUCUCACCCUCUUGCAUUUCUGAUUUGUUUCUGAGAGAUUGGGGUGGAUGGAGUUCCUGGUGACUGCUGGGAUUUGCAUGUGCCCCCCACCCGACAGUGCCUAUGACACACUCUGCUAUAUGUGUCUGCCUCUGAUGUCCCCUGAACAGCUGUGCAUGAAAGUCAUCUGUCCAGUGGGCAGAUAACAGGAAGUAUGGCACAGUGUGAAUGCCACGAGGGCAGGGCUGGUUAGUUCAUGGUUUGACCUUUAAAUCCUGGAAUUAUAACAGUACCCAAUAAGCAUGUUGAAUGCAUGAAAGAACAUGGUUAUUGUAAUUGGAUUGGGGAUCAUUUUGGAAUCUAUAGGUCUUAAGGUUGCCAUUCUGAGCAUUAGUCCUCACUAUCUGGGACCAUAAAUAUAACAUGUAUAGACAGGACUGGCUACAUAAUUUGUGGGGACCAGUGCAAAAUGAAAAUUUAGAGCCCCUUAUUCAAAAAUUAUUAAGAACCUCAAGACAGGGACAGCAGAACAUUAAAGCAAAUACGGGGUCUUUCUGAAUGUGGGCCCCCAUGCUCCUGCCUGAGUCCCAUGAAGUCAGACCUAAAGGUAGGAGAUGGAAUGAAAUUUUACUAAUCCUGGUAACUUCUGGAAAUAGCUUUCAGAAAAUUUUUGCAGAAAUCCUUGAAAUGACCUUUUUAUGUGGUUUUCUCUUUUUUUUUUUCAUGAAAGAAGAGGGCAAUUUAAAGAUGGAGGGUGUCUGGGGGUGCCUGGGUGGCUCAGUCGGUUAAUUGUCUGACUUCAGCUCAGGUCAUGAUCUCGUGGUUUGUGGGUUCGAGCCCCACAUUGGGCUCUGUGCUGACAGCUCA